AUUGAACGCUAGCGGCAUGCCUUACACAUGCAAGUCGAACGGCAGCACGGGGGCAACCCUGGUGGCGAGUGGCGAACGGGUGAGUAAUACAUCGGAACGUACCCAGUAGUGGGGGAUAACGUAGCGAAAGCUACGCUAAUACCGCAUACGCACUACGUUGGAAAGCGGGGGAUCGCAAGACCUCGCGCUAUUGGAGCGGCCGAUGGCAGAUUAGCUAGUUGGUGGGGUAAAGGCCUACCAAGGCGACGAUCUGUAGCUGGUCUGAGAGGACGACCAGCCACACUGGGACUGAGACACGGCCCAGACUCCUACGGGAGGCAGCAGUGGGGAAUUUUGGACAAUGGGGGCAACCCUGAUCCAGCAAUGCCGCGUGUGUGAAGAA
This 382-nucleotide ribosomal RNA is filed under the name uncultured Burkholderiales bacterium. RNAcentral's name for it is "bacterial SSU rRNA". It matches the Rfam family "Bacterial small subunit ribosomal RNA", at positions 29 to 412 of the family's 1533-position model. The record is from RNAcentral. Lineage: Bacteria; Pseudomonadati; Pseudomonadota; Betaproteobacteria; Burkholderiales.